AGAGUUUGAUUCUGGCGUCAGGAUGAACGCUAGCUACAGGCUUAACACAUGCAAGUCGAGGGGUAGCAGGGUAGCAAUACCGCUGACGACCGGCGCACGGGUGAGUAACACGUAUCCAACCUUCCCAUAACUCAGGGAUAGCCUUUCGAAAGGAAGAUUAAUACCUGAUAGUACUUUUUCAAGGCAUCUUGAAAAAGUUAAAGAUUUAUUGGUUAUGGAUGGGGAUGCGUUCCAUUAGAUAGUUGGUGAGGUAACGGCUCACCAAGUCUUCGAUGGAUAGGGGUUCUGAGAGGAAGGUCCCCCACAUUGGUACUGAGACACGGACCAAACUCCUACGGGAGGCAGCAGUGAGGAAUAUUGGUCAAUGGGCGAGAGCCUGAACCAGCCAAGUAGCGUGAAGGAUGAAAAGGUCCUAUGGAUUGUAAACUUCUUUUAUAGUAGAAUAAAGUGAUCCACGUGUGGAUUUUUGUAUGUAUACUAUGAAUAAGGAUCGGCUAACUCCGUGCCAGCAGCAGC
Molecule: ribosomal RNA, 516 nt
Filed under: uncultured bacterium
Lineage: Bacteria
Description: bacterial SSU rRNA
Rfam family: Bacterial small subunit ribosomal RNA
Source: RNAcentral